AUUUAAAGGAACCUCUGUUGCUAAAACCCAAGAUGCGGUCAUCCCUAAAAGGAGCCCUGAUAGAAACUGGAGGUGGUAUCAUCAAAUGUCGUGUAUAAGAUUUAGAACUGGCCAAGGAAAUCCAAUGUCUCAAAGUGGCUUUUAAAUCAGCUUCUCCCCUCCUGUUGCCCAACAGAAGAACAAACAGCUUAGUUGACUUGCUAUAGAUCUUGAAUCGCUUCAGAUAAUUCUGGAGACACC
This is a non-coding RNA of Pelobates cultripes (western spadefoot toad), 240 nucleotides long. Lineage: Eukaryota; Metazoa; Chordata; Amphibia; Anura; Pelobatidae. The record is from the annotation of a GenBank genome assembly.